Molecule: ribosomal RNA, 125 nt
Filed under: Pogona vitticeps (central bearded dragon)
Lineage: Eukaryota; Metazoa; Chordata; Lepidosauria; Squamata; Agamidae
Source: RNAcentral
CCUUCCAGGUAUAAUUUCAUGAGAACACACUAAAUCUUGUUUCAUUUCAGAAGCUGAGCAGAAUCAGUGCUUGUUAAUUCUUGGAUGGGAUACCACUAAGGAAUACCAAGGAUUUCCAGGUAGGG